RNAcentral lists this ribosomal RNA (253 nucleotides) under uncultured bacterium. RNAcentral describes it as "partial 16S ribosomal RNA". It matches the Rfam family "Bacterial small subunit ribosomal RNA", at positions 524 to 776 of the family's 1533-position model. The record is from RNAcentral.
UACGUAGGGGGCAAGCGUUGUCCGGAUUUAUUGGGCGUAAAGAGCGUGUAGGCGGCCUGACAAGUCUGCUGUGAAAACUCGAGGCUCAACCUCGAGAUGUCGGCGGAAACUGUCUGGCUAGAGUCCGAAAGAGGAGAGUGGAAUUCCUGGUGUAGCGGUGAAAUGCGCAGAUAUCGGGAAGAACACCCGUGGCGAAGGCGGUUCUCUGGGACGGUACUGACGCUGAGACGCGAAAGCGUGGGGAGCGAACAGG